UGCGUAGGUGGUCUUGUAAGUCAGAAGUGAAAGGCUACGGCUUAACCGUAGUAAGCUUUUGAAACUGCAGGACUUGAGUGCAGGAGAGGAAAGUGGAAUUCCUAGUGUAGCGGUGAAAUGCGUAGAUAUUAGGAGGAACACCAGUGGCGAAGGCGACUUUCUGGACUGUUACUGACACUGAGGCACGAAAGCGUGGGGGGCGAACA
This 206-nucleotide ribosomal RNA is filed under the name uncultured bacterium. RNAcentral's name for it is "partial 16S ribosomal RNA". It matches the Rfam family "Bacterial small subunit ribosomal RNA", at positions 568 to 774 of the family's 1533-position model. The record is from RNAcentral.